RNAcentral lists this ribosomal RNA (459 nucleotides) under uncultured bacterium. Its description in RNAcentral is "partial 16S ribosomal RNA". It matches the Rfam family "Bacterial small subunit ribosomal RNA", at positions 28 to 507 of the family's 1533-position model. The record is from RNAcentral.
GAUGAACGCUGGCGGCGCGCCUAACACAUGCAAGUCGAACGGCACCCCUCCUCGGAGGGAAGCGAGUGGCGAACGGCUGAGUAACACGUGGGGAACCUGCCCCCUCCCCCGGGAUAGCCGCCCGAAAGGACGGGUAAUACCGGAUACCCCGGGGUGCCGCAUGGCACCCCGGCUAAAGCCCCGACGGGAGGGGAUGGCUCCGCGGCCCAUCAGGUAGACGGCGGGGUGACAGCCCACCGUGCCGACAACGGGUAGCCGGGUUGAGAGACCGACCGGCCAGAUUGGGACUGAGACACGGCCCAGACUCCUACGGGAGGCAGCAGUGGGGAAUCUUGCGCAAUGGGGGGAACCCUGACGCAGCGACGCCGCGUGCGGGACGGAGGCCUUCGGGUCGUAAACCGCUUUCAGCAGGGAAGAGUCAAGACUGUACCUGCAGAAGAAGCCCCGGCUAACUACGUG